GAGAGCACAGUACGAUGAAAGUUGUAAGCUGUGUUCGGGGGGAGUUAUUGUCUAUCGUUGGCCUCUAUGGUAGAACCCGUCGGGGAGGCCUGAGAGGCGGUGGUUUACCCUGU
Triticum aestivum (bread wheat) is the source of this 113-nucleotide non-coding RNA. NCBI's taxonomy places the organism in Eukaryota, Viridiplantae, Streptophyta, Magnoliopsida, Poales, Poaceae. The record is from Rfam.